UACGGAGGGGGCUAGCGUUGUUCGGAAUUACUGGGCGUAAAGCGCACGUAGGCGGCUUUGUAAGUUAGAGGUGAAAGCCCGGGGCUCAACUCCGGAAUUGCCUUUAAGACUGCAUCGCUCGAAUGGUGGAGAGGUAAGUGGAAUUCCGAGUGUAGAGGUGAAAUUCGUAGAUAUUCGGAAGAACACCAGUGGCGAAGGCGACUUACUGGACACAUAUUGACGCUGAGGUGCGAAAGCGUGGGGAGCAAACAGG
RNAcentral lists this ribosomal RNA (253 nucleotides) under uncultured bacterium. Its description in RNAcentral is "partial 16S ribosomal RNA". It matches the Rfam family "Bacterial small subunit ribosomal RNA", at positions 524 to 776 of the family's 1533-position model. The record is from RNAcentral.